GUCUUCUUAGUAUAACACGUGCAAGUGACUUCCAAUCACACAGUCUCGGUCAAACUCCGGGAGAAGACA
RNAcentral lists this transfer RNA (69 nucleotides) under Leptobrachium ailaonicum (Yunnan mustache toad). RNAcentral's name for it is "tRNA-Gly". The record is from RNAcentral. Lineage: Eukaryota; Metazoa; Chordata; Amphibia; Anura; Megophryidae.